RNAcentral lists this unclassified non-coding RNA (831 nucleotides) under uncultured fungus. Its description in RNAcentral is "sequence contains 18S rRNA gene, ITS1, 5.8S rRNA gene, ITS2, 28S rRNA gene". The record is from RNAcentral. Lineage: Eukaryota; Fungi.
GCAGAUCGUUGGGCGUCAGCGCGAGCCAGUCAGCCAGAGCGACUAUCGAUUCGAUAAGCGGCGCCGUCCAUGGCAUGUUCACGGCGGCGAAAUGCUGCAACGAGUCUGACCAGGCGUGUGCAAUCCUGCGCAACGCGCAGACGUCCGCACACGCGACGAAAUGGCACCGUAACAAGAUCCCCUGGGGUAACCCCAGAGAGGCAAAUCAAACCCGAAUCCGUCGGCUUUGGAGCACUCCGCCACCGUGGGAAAUUCUAGCGCACGAUCUGCUGCAGCUGCCGUGAGCGCGGCAUGAGCUGGCCGUUCGGAUACACGGAAUCCACCCAGGCGACCUUGCGCGGCGACAUCCAGCCUUCGAGAUCAGGCAGAUCGAAAUGGCGCAGCGCGCCUGGCACUGCGUUCUCCCACUGGUUGCGGUGGAUGCGGUUGCGGAUGAUGGCCUCGUACGAGGUGCUGCUGCGUUCGAGCGUGAGACCCGCGAGGCGCGUGUCGAAGGCUGCCGCGUAGAGCAGUGGGAUCGCACCCAUGUCGCGCCCGUGGCCUGUGAUGCGGGUUGCGUCAAUCUCCGGACGUGAGGCGAGGAAAUCGAUGGCACGCACGAUGUCCUCGGCGCGCAUCGUCACGAGCGGCUUGCCGGUGAGCAUCGCGGUCAUCGCCGAUUCAUAGUCGCCGAAGUAGCGUGGCCAGUCGGAGCCGUUCUUGUCGUUGAUCGCGCGUGUUUCGCCGAGCCCACGCACGUCGAUCGCCAGCGCCGCGCUCCCGGCUUUCACCAGCUUCUCCGCCGCGUCAUGAGCCGAUGAUUUGCCAGCGCCGAAGACAAGGAUGGUCACC